ACGACCAUAUCACGUUGAAACACUGGUUUAUGUGUGGUCACCGAAGUUAAACAACGUCGAGCCUGGGUCAGUACCUUGAUGAGUGACCACUUGGGAAUACCAGAUAUUGUAAG
Acanthosepion pharaonis is the source of this 113-nucleotide non-coding RNA. The record is from the annotation of a GenBank genome assembly. Lineage: Eukaryota; Metazoa; Mollusca; Cephalopoda; Sepiida; Sepiidae.